RNAcentral lists this ribosomal RNA (363 nucleotides) under Proteomonas sulcata. RNAcentral describes it as "partial Bacterial large subunit ribosomal RNA". It matches the Rfam family "Bacterial large subunit ribosomal RNA", at positions 219 to 630 of the family's 2925-position model. The record is from RNAcentral. Lineage: Eukaryota; Cryptophyceae; Pyrenomonadales; Geminigeraceae.
AAGAAAUCAACAGAGAUUCCCUUAGUAGUGGCGAGCGAACGGGGACUAGCCCUUAAGUGGCUUUGAGAUUAGCGGAACGCUCUGGAAAGUGCGGCCAUAGUGGGUGAUAGCCCUGUACGCGAAAAUCUCUUAGUCAUGAAAUCGAGUAGGACGGAGCACGAGAAACUUUGUCUGAAUAUGGGGGGACCAUCCUCCAAGGCUAAAUACUCCUGACUGACCGAUAGUGAACCAGUACCGUGAGGGAAAGGCGAAAAGAACCCCGGAGAGGGGAGUGAAAUAGAUCCUGAAACCGCAUGCAUACAAGCAGUGGGAGCCGACUUGUUCGGUGACUGCGUACCUUUUGUACAAUGGGUCAGCGACUUA